Molecule: ribosomal RNA, 451 nt
Filed under: uncultured Fibrobacter sp.
Lineage: Bacteria; Pseudomonadati; Fibrobacterota; Fibrobacteria; Fibrobacterales; Fibrobacteraceae
Description: partial 16S ribosomal RNA
Rfam family: Bacterial small subunit ribosomal RNA
Source: RNAcentral
ACGGGAGGCAGCAGUAGGGAAUAUUGCACAAUGGGGGGAACCCUGAUGCAGCAACGCCACGUGUGGGAAGACGCAUUUCGGUGUGUAAACCACUGUCGUGAGGGAAUAAGGCUACUUUCCGGAGUAGUUGAAUGUACCUUGUAAGGAAGCACCGGCAAACUUCGUGCCAGCAGUCGCGGUAAUACGAGGGGUGCAAGCGUUGUUCGGAAUCACUGGGCGUAAAGGGAGCGCAGGCGGAGAUGCAAGCGGACUGUACAAUACCGGGGCCCAACCCCGGACCUGCAGUCCGGACUGCACCUCUUGGAUAGUUCAGGGGCAAGCGGAAUUCCUGGUGUAGCGGUGGAAUGCGUAGAGAUCAGGAAGAACACCGAUGGCGAAGGCAGCUUGCUGGGGACUUAUCGACGCUCAUGCUCGAAAGUGCGGGUAGCAAACAGGAUUAGAUACCCUGGUA